RNAcentral lists this ribosomal RNA (406 nucleotides) under uncultured bacterium. RNAcentral describes it as "partial 16S ribosomal RNA". It matches the Rfam family "Bacterial small subunit ribosomal RNA", at positions 29 to 526 of the family's 1533-position model. The record is from RNAcentral.
AUUGAACGCUGGCGGCAGGCCUAACACAUGCAAGUCGAACGAGUGGCGGACGGGUGAGUAAUGUCUGGGAAACUGCCUGACGGAGGGGGAUAACUACUGGAAACGGUAGCUAAUACCGCAUAUCAUCAGUUGUGCCCAGACGGGAUUAGCUAGUGGGGGGGGUAACGGCUCACAAAGGCGACGGCCCCCAGCUGGUCUGAGAGGGUGACCGGCCACACGGGAACUGGGACACGGUCCAGACUCCUACGGGAGGCAGCAGUGGGGAAUAUUGCAAAAUGGGCGCAAGCCUGCUGCAGCCAUGCCGCGUGUAUGAAGAAGGCCUUCGGGUUGUAAAGUACUUUCAGCGGGGAGGCGUUACCCGCAGAGGAAGCACCGGCUAACUCCGUGCCAGCAGCCGCGGUAAUUC